Molecule: ribosomal RNA, 496 nt
Filed under: uncultured bacterium
Lineage: Bacteria
Description: partial 16S ribosomal RNA
Rfam family: Bacterial small subunit ribosomal RNA
Source: RNAcentral
GAUGAACGCUGGCGGCGUGCCUAAUACAUGCAAGUCGAGCGAACAGAUGAGGAGCUUGCUCCUCUGACGUUAGCGGCGGACGGGUGAGUAACACGUGGAUAACCUACCUAUAAGACUGGGAUAACUUCGGGAAACCGGAGCUAAUACCGGAUAAUAUAUUGAACCGCAUGGUUCAAUAGUGAAAGACGGUUUUGCUGUCACUUAUAGAUGGAUCCGCGCCGCAUUAGCUAGUUGGUAAGGUAACGGCUUACCAAGGCAACGAUGCGUAGCCGACCUGAGAGGGUGAUCGGCCACACUGGAACUGAGACACGGUCCAGACUCCUACGGGAGGCAGCAGUAGGGAAUCUUCCGCAAUGGGCGAAAGCUUGACGGAGCAACGCCGCGUGAGUGAUGAAGGUCUGCGGAUCGUAAAACUCUGUUAUUAGGGAAGAACAAAUGUGUAAGUAACUAUGCACGUCUUGACGGUACCUAAUCAGAAAGCCACGGCUAACUACGU